RNAcentral lists this ribosomal RNA (496 nucleotides) under uncultured Pseudomonadota bacterium. RNAcentral describes it as "uncultured proteobacterium partial 16S ribosomal RNA". It matches the Rfam family "Bacterial small subunit ribosomal RNA", at positions 383 to 872 of the family's 1533-position model. Lineage: Bacteria; Pseudomonadati; Pseudomonadota. The record is from RNAcentral.
CUGUCCAGCAAUGCCGCGUGCAGUGAAGAAGGCCUUCGGGUUGUAAANUGCUUUUGUACGGAACGAAAAGGUCUGCUCUAAUACGGNGGGCCCAUGACGGUACCGUAAGAAUAAGCACCGGCUAACUACGUGCCAGCAGCCGCGGUAAUACGUAGGGUGCGAGCGUUAAUCGGAAUUACUGGGCGUAAAGCGUGCGCAGGCGGUGAUGUAANACAGUUGUGAAAUCCCCGGGCUCAACCUGGGAANUGCAUCUGNGACUGCANCUCUAGAGUGCGGUAGAGGGGGAUGGAAUUCCGCGUGUAGCAGUGAAAUGCGUAGAUAUGCGGAGGAACACCGAUGGCGAAGGCNAUCCCCUGGACCUGUACUGACGCUCANGCANGAAUGCGUGGGGAGCAAACAGGAUUAGAUACCCUGGUAAUCCACGCCCUAAACGAUGUCAACUGGUUGUUGGGUGCNUUAGUACUCANUANCGAAGCUAACGCNUGANNUUGACCNC